CAAAAAAUUUGUUGAUGCAGCAAGGGUGAGC
This 31-nucleotide non-coding RNA is filed under the name Rattus norvegicus (Norway rat). The record is from RNAcentral. Lineage: Eukaryota; Metazoa; Chordata; Mammalia; Rodentia; Muridae.